GACGAACGCUGGCGGCGUGCUUAACACAUGCAAGUCGAACGAGACGAUUGAAAGCUUGCUUUUAAAAGUCGAGUGGCAAACGGGUGAGUAACGCGUAGACAACCUGCCUUUGAGAUGGGGACAACAGUUCGAAAGGACUGCUAAUACCGAAUGUUGUAUAUUUUCCACAUGGAAGAUAUAUUAAAGAUGGCCUCUAUUUAUAAGCUAUCGCUCACAGAUGGGUCUGCGUCUGAUUAGCUGGUUGGUGGGGUAACGGCCUACCAAGGCGACGAUCAGUAGCCGGUCUGAGAGGAUGAACGGCCACAUUGGGACUGAGACACGGCCCAGACUCCUACGGGAGGCAGCAGUGGGGAAUCUUCCACAAUGGACGAAAGUCUGAUGGAGCAACGCCGCGUGAGUGAAGAAGGGUUUCGGCUCGUAAAGCUCUGUUGUCGGGGACGAAUGUGCAGUAUUUGAAUAAAGUACUGCAAUGACGGUACCUGACGAGGAAGCCACGGCUAACUACGUGCCAGCAGCCGCAGUAA
Molecule: ribosomal RNA, 524 nt
Filed under: uncultured bacterium
Lineage: Bacteria
Description: partial 16S ribosomal RNA
Rfam family: Bacterial small subunit ribosomal RNA
Source: RNAcentral